AGGGUGGAUGGCCCUGGCCCAGUGACAUGUUGUUAAACGGCCGCGGUAUCCUAACCGUGCGAAGGUAGCGCAAUCAAUUGUCCCAUAAAUCGAGACUUGUAUGAAUGGCUAAACGAGGUCUUAACUGUCUCUUACGGAUAAUCAGUGAAAUUGAUCUUCCUGUGCAAAAGCAGGAAUAAACACAUAAGACGAGAAGACCCUGUGGAACUUAAAAAUCAAUGGCCACCCUCUCACACAAUCAACCCUACUAGGCUCACCACCAAUAAAAUGCUGGCCUACAUUUUUCGGUUGGGGCGACCUUGGAGAAAAACAAACCCUCCAAAAAUAAGACCACCCCUCUUAACCAAGAGCAACCCCUCAACGUACUAAUAGUAACCAGACCCAAUACAAUUGACCAAUGGACCAAGCUACCCCAGGGAUAACAGCGCAAUCUCCUCCAAGAGCCCAUAUCGACGAGGAGGUUUACGACCUCGAUGUUGGAUCAGGACAUCCUGAUGGUGCAGCCGCUAUCAAGGGUUCGUUUGUUCAACGAUUAACAGUCCUACGUGAUCUGAGUUCAGACCAGA
This 566-nucleotide ribosomal RNA is filed under the name Columbina talpacoti (Ruddy ground dove). RNAcentral's name for it is "partial 16S ribosomal RNA". It matches the Rfam family "Bacterial large subunit ribosomal RNA", at positions 1847 to 2620 of the family's 2925-position model. The record is from RNAcentral. Lineage: Eukaryota; Metazoa; Chordata; Aves; Columbiformes; Columbidae.